This 493-nucleotide ribosomal RNA is filed under the name Mesoginella sp. MNHN-IM-2013-68948. Its description in RNAcentral is "partial 16S ribosomal RNA". It matches the Rfam family "Bacterial large subunit ribosomal RNA", at positions 1845 to 2598 of the family's 2925-position model. The record is from RNAcentral. Lineage: Eukaryota; Metazoa; Mollusca; Gastropoda; Neogastropoda; Marginellidae.
AUAAAGAAUCUGGCCUGCCCAGUGACUUAUAGUUUAACGGCCGCAGUAAUUUGACUGUGCGAAGGUAGCAUAAUCAUUUGCCCCAUAAUUGGGGGCUGGUAUGAAUGGUUUGACACGAAAACAAUUGUCUUUAUUUUGGUUUUUAGAAUUUUACUUUUAGGUGAAGAGGCCUAGUUAUUAUUAAUAGACAAGAAGACCCCGUCGAUCUUAUAAAUUUGUUGUUAAAUAGAGUUAUAUAGUAUUAAUAGAUUUAAAUUUAAUGAGAGUUUUUGAUUGGGGCGAUUAGAGAACAUUUAAAGCUUCUCUUGAGUACUACAUUUUAUGUGAUCCAAGGGUUAUUUUGAUUAAAAGAAUAAGUUACCGCGGGGAUAACAGCAUGAUUUCUUUGGAGAGUUCGCAUUGAUAAAGAAGUUUAUGACCUCGAUGUUGGAUCAAAUUUUCCUGUAGAUGUAGAAGUCUGCAAGGGUUGGUCUGUUCGACCAUUAAAAUUUUA